Molecule: long non-coding RNA, 273 nt
Organism: Carassius auratus (goldfish)
Lineage: Eukaryota; Metazoa; Chordata; Actinopteri; Cypriniformes; Cyprinidae
Exons: 5
Source: RefSeq, a predicted model, not a curated record
AAGCGUCUAUAUAGUGGUCUUUCACGUAUCCACGAGAUUGAUCUUUGAGCUUUAUCUCCUGAGCAAUUCUUGAGCAUUACGAGCACUACAAACUCUCCACUGCACAAUAUCCAACCAUCUAUUCAGAGUAGAACCUGCAUUUUUCACUGCAGCUGAACGCCUGGUUUUGGGAUUUCUCUAACCAGCAGUUCUCUUGAAUUGUACUUCCCACCCAUCAACCCCAACCCACCCUUCCCUCCCCUCCCCAACCUCCCACCCACAAAAAAAAACAAA